AACGUAGGGCACAAGCGUUAUCCGGAGUUACUGGGCGUAAAGGGCGUGUAGGCGGGAUUAUAAGUCUACUCUGAAAGCUCCUGGCUAAACUGGGAGAGGCGAGUGGAGACUGUAGUUCUAGAGUGAGGAAGAGGAAAGUGGAAUUCCGCGUGUAGUGGUGAAAUGCGUAGAGAUGCGGAGGAACACCAGUGGCGAAGGCAGCCCCCUGGGAUAACACUGACGCUCAUGCACGAAAGCGUGGGGAGCAAACAGG
RNAcentral lists this ribosomal RNA (253 nucleotides) under uncultured bacterium. RNAcentral's name for it is "partial 16S ribosomal RNA". It matches the Rfam family "Bacterial small subunit ribosomal RNA", at positions 524 to 776 of the family's 1533-position model. The record is from RNAcentral.